UCGAGAAUCUUCGGCAAUGAGCGCAAGCUUGACCGAGCGACGCCGCGUGCGGGAUGAAGGCCCUCGGGUUGUAAACCGCUGUCGUAGGGGAGGAAAUCAACGAGGGUUCUCCCUCGUAGUUGACCUAUCCUAGGAGGAAGUCCGGGCUAAGUUCGUGCCAGCAGCCGCGGUAAGACGAACCGGACAAACGUUAUUCGGAAUUACUGGGCUUAAAGGGUUCGUAGGCGGCCUUGUAAGUGGGGUGUGAAAUCCCUCGGCUCAACCGAGGAACUGCGCUCCAAACUACAAGGCUUGAGGGAGACAGAGGUAAGCGGAACUGAUGGUGGAGCGGUGAAAUGCGUUGAUAUCAUCAGGAACACCGGUGGCGAAAGCGGCUUACUGGGUCUCUUCUGACGCUGAGGAACGAAAGCUAGGGUAGCGAACGGGAUUAGAUACCCCCGUAGUCC
RNAcentral lists this ribosomal RNA (446 nucleotides) under uncultured bacterium. RNAcentral describes it as "bacterial SSU rRNA". It matches the Rfam family "Bacterial small subunit ribosomal RNA", at positions 355 to 796 of the family's 1533-position model. The record is from RNAcentral.